RNAcentral lists this ribosomal RNA (477 nucleotides) under uncultured bacterium. RNAcentral describes it as "SSU rRNA". It matches the Rfam family "Bacterial small subunit ribosomal RNA", at positions 26 to 518 of the family's 1533-position model. The record is from RNAcentral.
AGGACGAACGCUGGCGGCGUGCUUAACACAUGCAAGUCGAACGGAAAGGCCCGCUUGCGGGUACUCGAGUGGCGAACGGGUGAGUAACACGUGGGCAACCUGCCCUCAGCUUCGGGAUAACAUUUGGAAACAGGUGCUAAUACCGGAUAAUAACCUUUCAUCGCAUGGUGUGGGGUUCAAAGUUUUUCGGCUGGGGAUGGGCCCGCGGCCUAUCAGCUUGUUGGUGGGGUAAUGGCCUACCAAGGCGACGACGGGUAGCCGGCCUGAGAGGGCGACCGGCCACACUGGGACUGAGACACGGCCCAGACUCCUACGGGAGGCAGCAGUGGGGAAUAUUGCGCAAUGGGCGGACGCCUGACGCAGCGACGCCGCGUGAGGGAUGACGGCCUUCGGGUUGUAAACCUCUUUCAGCUCUGACGAAGCGCAAGUGACGGUAGGAGCAGAAGAAGCACCGGCCAACUACGCGCCAGCAGCCGC